Salvelinus fontinalis (brook trout) is the source of this 727-nucleotide long non-coding RNA. RefSeq lists it as uncharacterized. NCBI's taxonomy places the organism in Eukaryota, Metazoa, Chordata, Actinopteri, Salmoniformes, Salmonidae. The transcript is spliced from 2 exons. The record is from RefSeq and is a predicted model, not a curated record.
GGGGUAAGGGGGAUACCUAGUCAUUUUUUGCGUCAUCAUUGCUUGCGAUCAUCAUUCUCAAAGCUGCUGUUUACUUCUAAGAUCACUUUAGCACUGCACUAAAAGCCCGAUUCAAAUUCGACACAAACCUUCAAAUAGAUGGGUGGACUGGAAAACCAGUGACAACUUUCGGCUCUGCAGCUACCAUUUUUUCCGAUGGGAAAGAGAAAGUGACCUGUAUUUACAAGAAAAUGUAUCUAUCUCAUCCCCCAUGGCAGAAGAUGGAGAUCCAGACUGUUGAUUGGGAAACAAGAACAAAUAAUGAGACAUGAGGAUUGGGUGUUGAGGGACCACUUGUCACAUUGUCCAAGGUGGAUGGACAUGAACAUCCUGUGCAUGGACAUCCUGUGCCAGUGUGAUCUGAGCGCAAGCGCCCUGGUGUCCCUUUUAUUUUAUUUAUUUAACCUUUAUUUAACUAGUCAAGUCAGUUAAGAACAAAUUCUUAUUUACAAUGGGGGCCUACCAAAAGGCCUCCUGCGGGGACGGGGGCCUGUGAUUAAAAAAAUAUUUUACAAAUAUUUAUUAAACUGUAAUUUUCACAUGGGGACAAGUGCAGUUUUUCCAUAAACUUUUAAUUGGUAACUUGGGAUUUUAUCACUUGACAUAUCAAUCAUAUAGUGAGAAGGAUACUACAAAUCAGAACUGUGUGAAUGCAUGUACCACUCCGAAUAAAUACUGUGCCUUUGAA